Podarcis lilfordi (Lilford's wall lizard) is the source of this 74-nucleotide non-coding RNA. Lineage: Eukaryota; Metazoa; Chordata; Lepidosauria; Squamata; Lacertidae. The record is from the annotation of a GenBank genome assembly.
GCUUGGAGAGCUCAGUUGUUAGAGCAUGAGACUCUUAAUCUCCAGGGUCAUGGGUUCGAGCGUCUGGUUGGGCA